Molecule: long non-coding RNA, 714 nt
Organism: Ostrea edulis (European flat oyster)
Lineage: Eukaryota; Metazoa; Mollusca; Bivalvia; Ostreida; Ostreidae
Exons: 3
Source: RefSeq, a predicted model, not a curated record
AGAAGAGUAAGGUGUAUAAAAGCAUUGUACCCAGUUUCCACCAUCUGAAUUCUACGGUUGUGAAUCAUGCGUCUGUCUCUGAUGAUCGUUGUAGGCUGUGAAUCAUGCGUCUGUCUCUGAUGAUCGUUACCAUGACACUGGUCCUGAUGAUCGAUGCUAGAACGACUCCAUCACCAGAGGAUUAUGAAUAUCAAGAUAGCGGAUAUGAUAAGAAGGAUAACUGCUACCAUAUUGGCUAUCCAAAAAAAUACACAAUGUCUGUUGGUUACGGACUACAGUCCACAAAAAUCAGGAGAGUAUCAAAUAUGAAUUUUUUUAAUGUAAAAAAGUAAAUUUCUCGCUAACUCUUUCUUUACACCUCACAUACUCUCUCACACAAUCCCACACAUACAUGGUAUUAGUAGAUUCAGUGCUAGAAAUGUUGGUAACAUAAGUAUUGUUUAGUUGCUUAACAUUACAAGUAGUCUUCCGUAAAUUUUAUAUAUUUUAAAAUUGAUUACAGAAGUCAAAUUCACAACGCACUAAAAGAUUACCCAGCGGUUAACGAAUCCCUGAAGAACAGUGAAUGCCAAAAAGCAUAUCACUAUUCCUAUGGACAAGAAGAAACAUGUCCGACCGACCGUAAACUGGUUACUAAGGUAUACAUUGGAAAGGAAUGGUGCAACGUGGCUAAGCCUAAUUACCAAUGUGUUACAGCUGCAUCUUGCCAAACAC